RNAcentral lists this ribosomal RNA (663 nucleotides) under uncultured bacterium. Its description in RNAcentral is "bacterial SSU rRNA". It matches the Rfam family "Bacterial small subunit ribosomal RNA", at positions 42 to 737 of the family's 1533-position model. The record is from RNAcentral.
GCGUGCCUAACACAUGCAAGUCGAACGAGAAAGUGGAGCAAUCCAUGAGUAAAGUGGCGACCGGGUGAGUAACACGUGACUAACCUACCCUCGAGUGGGGAAUAACCUCGGGAAACCGAGGUUAAUACCGCAUAACAUCGCAAGAUCAAAGCAGCAAUGCGCUUGAGGAGGGGGUCGCGGCUGAUUAGCUAGUUGGUAGGGUAAUGGCCUACCAAGGCUUAGAUCGGUAGCCGGCCUGAGAGGGCGCACGGCCACACUGGAACUGAAACACGGUCCAGACUCCUACGGGAGGCAGCAGUGGGGAAUUUUGCGCAAUGGGGGAAACCCUGACGCAGCAACGCCGCGUGGAGGAUGAAGUCCCUUGGGACGCAAACUCCUUUCGACCGGGACGAUACUGACGGUACCGGAAGAAGAAGCACCGGCUAACUCUGUGCCAGCAGCCGCGGUAAUACAGAGGGUGCGAGCGUUGUUCGGAAUUAUUGGGCGUAAAGGGCGCGUAUGCGGCGCGGUAUGUCACCUGUGAAAUCUCCUGGCUCAACUGGGAGCUUGCAGGCGAAACUGCCGUGCUGGAGUGUGGGAGAGGUGCGUGGAAUUCCCGGUGUAGCGGUGAAAUGCGUAAAUAUCGGGAGGAACACCUGUGGCGAAAGCGGCGCACUGGACCAC